Molecule: ribosomal RNA, 503 nt
Filed under: uncultured bacterium
Lineage: Bacteria
Description: partial 16S ribosomal RNA
Rfam family: Bacterial small subunit ribosomal RNA
Source: RNAcentral
AUUGAACGCUGGCGGCAGGCUUAACACAUGCAAGUCGAGCGGGGUGAUGGUGCUUGCACUAUCACUUAGCGGCGGACGGGUGAGUAAUACUUAGGAAUCUGCCUAUUAGUGGGGGACAACAUCUCGAAAGGGAUGCUAAUACCGCAUACGUCCUACGGGAGAAAGCAGGGGAUCACUUGUGACCUUGCGCUAAUCUAUGAGCCUAAGUCGGAUUAGCUAGUUGGUGGGGUAAAGGCCUACCAAGGCGACGAUCUGUAGCGGGUCUGAGAGGAUGAUCCGCCACACUGGGACUGAGACACGGCUCAGACUCCUACGGGAGGCAGCAGUGGGGAAUAUUGGACAAUGGGGGGAACCCUGAUCCAGCCAUGCCGCGUGUGUGAAGAAGGCCUUAUGGUUGUAAAGCACUUUAAGCGAGGAGGAGGCUCUUUUGGUUAAUACCCAAGAUGAGUGGACGUUACUCGCAGAAUAAGCACCGGCUAACUCUGUGCCAGCAGCCGCGGUAA